CAUCCGCAGAACAAGCAGAAGAGGAAGGAGAACAAAUAGAAGAAAGGGAUGAGGGAGUCGAAAAUAUUUUUCCGAUAGUGCCUUUCCCAGGCCCAGAGGUAAGCUUCACACUCCUCCCCACAUUCAAAUCCAAUACAGUUUUUUUUUCUUUUUCUUUCUGCAAAACCCCGUUUUCAUCAUAAGGAACAUUGUACACAAAAGGGGAAGAAG
RNAcentral lists this non-coding RNA (210 nucleotides) under Paramoeba aestuarina. Lineage: Eukaryota; Discosea; Flabellinia; Dactylopodida; Paramoebidae. The record is from RNAcentral.